GCAGUCGAACGAAGCACUCUAUUUGAUUUUCUUCGGAAAUGAAGAUUUUCUGUCAGAGUGGCGGACGGGUGAGUAACGCGUGGGUAACCUGCCUCAUACAGGGGGAUAACAGUUGGAAACGACUGCUAAUACCGCAUAAGCGCACAGGAUCGCAUGAUCCGGUGCGAAAAACUCCGGUGGUAUGGGAUGGACCCGCGUCUGAUUAGCCAGUUGGCAGGGUAACGGCCUACCAAAGCGACGAUCAGUAGCCGACCUGAGAGGGUGACCGGCCACAUUGGGACUGAGACACGGCCCAAACUCCUACGGGAGGCAGCAGUGGGGAAUAUUGCACAAUGGGGGAAACCCUGAUGCAGCGACGCCGCGUGAGCGAAGAAGUAUUUCGGUAUGUAAAGCUCUAUCAGCAGGGAAGAAGAAUGACGGUACCUGACUAAGAAGCACCGGCUAAAUACGUGCCGGCAGCCGCGGUAAUACGUAUGGUGCAAGCGUUAUCCGGAUUUACUGGGUGUAAAGGGAGCGCAGGCGGUGCGGCAAGUCUGAUGUGAAAGCCCGGGGCUCAACCCCGGUACUGCAUUGGAAACUGUCGUACUAGAGUGUCGGAGGGGUAAGUGGAAUUCCUAGUGUAGCGGUGAAAUGCGUAGAUAUUAGGAGGAACACCAGUGGCGAAGGCGGCUUACUGGACGAUAACUGACGCUGAGGCUCGAAAGCGUGGGGAGCAAACAGGAUUAGAUACCCUGGUAGUCCACGCCGUANACGAUGAAUACUAGGUGUCGGGGANCAUUGCUCUUCGGUGCCGCAGCAAACGCAAUAAGUAUUCCACCUGGGGAGUACGUUCGCAAGAAUGAAACUCAAAGGAAUUGACGGGGACC
RNAcentral lists this ribosomal RNA (866 nucleotides) under uncultured bacterium. Its description in RNAcentral is "bacterial SSU rRNA". It matches the Rfam family "Bacterial small subunit ribosomal RNA", at positions 57 to 921 of the family's 1533-position model. The record is from RNAcentral.